RNAcentral lists this ribosomal RNA (800 nucleotides) under uncultured bacterium. Its description in RNAcentral is "bacterial SSU rRNA". It matches the Rfam family "Bacterial small subunit ribosomal RNA", at positions 8 to 789 of the family's 1533-position model. The record is from RNAcentral.
AGAGUUUGAUCAUGGCUCAGGACGAACGCUGGCGGCGUGCCUAAUACAUGCAAGUCGAGCGGACGAAUCGAAAGCUUGCUUUUGAUUCGUUAGCGGCGGACGGGUGAGUAACACGUGGGCAACCUGCCCUGUAGACGGGGAUAACACCGAGAAAUCGGUGCUAAUACCGGAUAACACGAAAUGUCGCAUGACGUUUCGUUGAAAGACGGCGCAAGCUGUCGCUACAGGAUGGGCCCGCGGCGCAUUAGCUAGUUGGUGAGGUAACGGCUCACCAAGGCGACGAUGCGUAGCCGACCUGAGAGGGUGAUCGGCCACACUGGGACUGAGACACGGCCCAGACUCCUACGGGAGGCAGCAGUAGGGAAUCUUCCGCAAUGGACGAAAGUCUGACGGAGCAACGCCGCGUGAGCGAAGAAGGCCUUCGGGUCGUGAAGCUCUGUUGUUAGGGAAGAACAAGUAACGCAGUAACUGGCGUUAUCGUGACGGUACCUAACGAGAAAGCCACGGCUAACUACGUGCCAGCAGCCGCGGUAAUACGUAGGUGGCAAGCGUUGUCCGGAAUUAUUGGGCGUAAAGCGCGCGCAGGCGGUUCCUUAAGUCUGAUGUGAAAGCCCACGGCUCAACCGUGGAGGGUCAUUGGAAACUGGGGGACUUGAGUGCAGAAGAGGAGAGCGGAAUUCCACGUGUAGCGGUGAAAUGCGUAGAGAUGUGGAGGAACACCAGUGGCGAAGGCGGCUCUCUGGUCUGUAACUGACGCUGAGGCGCGAAAGCGUGGGGAGCAAACAGGAUUAGAUACCCUG